RNAcentral lists this ribosomal RNA (436 nucleotides) under uncultured bacterium. Its description in RNAcentral is "partial 16S ribosomal RNA". It matches the Rfam family "Bacterial small subunit ribosomal RNA", at positions 29 to 507 of the family's 1533-position model. The record is from RNAcentral.
AGCGAACGCUGGCGGCAGGCUUAACACAUGCAAGUCGAGCGGGCAUCCUUGUGGUGUCAGCGGCAGACGGGUGAGUAACGCGUGGGAACGUGCCCUUCGGUUCGGAAUAACUCAGGGAAACUUGAGCUAAUACCGGAUACGCCCUUUUGGGGAAAGGUUUACUGCCGAAGGAUCGGCCCGCGUCUGAUUUGCUAGUUGGUGAGGUUAUGGCUCACCAAGGCGACGAUCAGUAGCUGGUCUGAGAGGAUGAUCAGCCACACUGGGACUGAGACACGGCCCAGACUCCUACGGGAGGCAGCAGUGGGGAAUAUUGGACAAUGGGGGCAACCCUGAUCCAGCCAUGCCGCGUGAGUGAUGACGGCCUUAGGGUUGUAAAGCUCUUUUCUCCGGGACGAUAAUGACGGUACCGGAGGAAUAAGCCCCGGCUAACUUCGUG